AGGGAAAAGCUCAAAUUUGAAAUCUGGCAGUUCUUGCGACUGUCCGAGUUGUAAUUUAGAGAAGUGUUACCCGCGCUGAACCGUAUAUAAGUCCUUUGGAAUGAGGCGUCAUAGAGGGUGAGAAUCCCGUCUAUUG
RNAcentral lists this ribosomal RNA (136 nucleotides) under Hydropus sp. RNAcentral describes it as "partial large subunit ribosomal RNA". It matches the Rfam family "Eukaryotic large subunit ribosomal RNA", at positions 99 to 230 of the family's 3401-position model. The record is from RNAcentral. Lineage: Eukaryota; Fungi; Basidiomycota; Agaricomycetes; Agaricales; Mycenaceae.